Non-coding RNA from Caerostris extrusa, 102 nucleotides. NCBI's taxonomy places the organism in Eukaryota, Metazoa, Arthropoda, Arachnida, Araneae, Araneidae. The record is from the annotation of a GenBank genome assembly.
AACGGCCAUAUCAUGCUGAAUAUAUCGGUUCUCGUUCGAUCGACGAAGUCAAGUAUUAUGGGGCGUGGGCAGCACUUGAGUGGGUGAUCCCUUGGAAACACU